GACGAACGCUGGCGGCGUGCCUAAUACAUGCAAGUCGAACGAAGCUUUUUUAACUGGUGCUUGCACCGACUUAAACAACUGAGUGGCGAACGGGUGAGUAACACGUGGGUAACCUGCCCCAAAGCGGGGGAUAACAUUUGGAAACAGAUGCUAAUACCGCAUAACCACAGAAACCACAUGGUUUCUGCGUCAAAGAUGGUUUCGGCUAUCACUUUGGGAUGGACCCGCGGCGUAUUAGCUAGUUGGUAAGGUAAUGGCUUACCAAGGCAAUGAGACGUAGCCGAACUGAGAAGUUGAUCGGCCACAUUGGGACUGAGACACGGCCCAAACUCCUACGGGAGGCAGCAGUAGGGAAUCUUCCACAAUGGACGAAAGUCUGAUGGAGCAACGCCGCGUGAGUGAAGAAGGUUUUCGGAUCGUAAAACUCUGUUGUCAGAGAAGAACGUGUGCGAGAGUAACUGUUCGUGCAGUGACGGUAUCUGGCCAGAAAGCCACGGCUAACUACGUGCCAGCCGCCGCGGUAA
Molecule: ribosomal RNA, 524 nt
Filed under: uncultured bacterium
Lineage: Bacteria
Description: partial 16S ribosomal RNA
Rfam family: Bacterial small subunit ribosomal RNA
Source: RNAcentral